RNAcentral lists this ribosomal RNA (468 nucleotides) under uncultured bacterium. RNAcentral's name for it is "partial 16S ribosomal RNA". It matches the Rfam family "Bacterial small subunit ribosomal RNA", at positions 28 to 507 of the family's 1533-position model. The record is from RNAcentral.
GACGAACGCUGGCGGCGUGCUUAACACAUGCAAGUCGAACGGUAAGGCCCUGCUUUUGUGGGGUGCUCGAGUGGCGAACGGGUGAGUAACACGUGAGUAACCUGCCCUUGACUUUGGGAUAACUUCAGGAAACUGGGGCUAAUACCGGAUAGGAGCUCCUGCUGCAUGGUGGGGGUUGGAAAGUUUCGGCGGUUUGGGAUGGACUCGCGGCUUAUCAGCUUGUUGGUGGGGUAGUGGCUUACCAAGGCGUUGACGGGUAGCCGGACUGAGAGUGUGACCGGCCACAUUGGGACUGAGAUACGGCCAAGACUCCUACGGGAGGAAGCAGUGGGGAAUAUUGCACAAUGGGCGGAAGCCUGAUGCAGCAACGCCGCGUGCGGGAUGACGGCCUUCGGGGUGUAAACCGCUUUCGCCUGUGACGAAGCGUGAGUGACGGUAAUGUGUAAAGAAGCACCGGCUAACUACGUG